RNAcentral lists this transfer RNA (69 nucleotides) under Marmota marmota marmota (Alpine marmot). It matches the Rfam family "tRNA". From Rfam's summary of the family: Transfer RNA (tRNA) molecules are approximately 80 nucleotides in length. Their secondary structure includes four short double-helical elements and three loops (D, anti-codon, and T loops). The record is from Rfam by way of RNAcentral. Lineage: Eukaryota; Metazoa; Chordata; Mammalia; Rodentia; Sciuridae. RNAcentral also lists the same sequence under 4 other names.
GGGGCUGUAGCUCAGUGGCAGAGUGCUUGCCUUGCAUGUGUGAGGCACUGGGUUCAAUCCUCAGCACCA